CAGUCGCCGCGGUAAUACGAAGGGUGCAAGCGUUAAUCGGAAUUACUGGGCGUAAAGCGUGCGUAGGCGGUUUGUUAAGUCUGUUGUGAAAUCCCCGGGCUCAACCUGGGAAUGGCAAUGGAUACUGGCAAGCUAGAGUGUGUCAGAGGAUGGUGGAAUUCCCGGUGUAGCGGUGAAAUGCGUAGAGAUCGGGAGGAACAUCAGUGGCGAAGGCGGCCAUCUGGGACAACACUGACGCUGAGGCACGAAAGCGUGGGGAGCAAACAGGAUUAGAUACCCCUGUAGUCCCUGUCUCUUAUCC
RNAcentral lists this ribosomal RNA (301 nucleotides) under uncultured bacterium. Its description in RNAcentral is "partial 16S ribosomal RNA". It matches the Rfam family "Bacterial small subunit ribosomal RNA", at positions 509 to 809 of the family's 1533-position model. The record is from RNAcentral.